RNAcentral lists this ribosomal RNA (492 nucleotides) under uncultured bacterium. RNAcentral describes it as "bacterial SSU rRNA". It matches the Rfam family "Bacterial small subunit ribosomal RNA", at positions 36 to 518 of the family's 1533-position model. The record is from RNAcentral.
CUGGCGACAGGCCUAACGCAUGCAAGUCGAGGGGCGAGCACAAGGAGCAAUCUGAGGUGGCGACCGGCGCACGGGUGAGUAACACGUAUGCAACCUGCCUGUAAGCGGGGAAUAACCCGUUGAAAGACGGACUAAUACCGCAUAAUACUAAAUUACUGCAUGGUAAUUUAUUUAAACAUUUAUGGCUUACAGAUGGGCAUGCGCAUGAUUAGCUAGUUGGAGAGGUAACGGCUCCCCAACGGCAACGAUCAUUAGGGGUUCGUGAGAGGAAGGUCCCCCACCACUGGUACUGAGACACGGACCAGACUCCUACGGGAGGCAGCAGUGAGGAAUAUUGGUCAAUGGACGAGAGUCUGAACCAGCCAAGUCGCGUGCAGGAAGAAUUGUCCUAUGGAUUGUAAACUGCUUUUGCAGGGGAAUAAAGUGCAUCACGUGUGAUGUUUUGUAUGUACUCUGCGAAUAAGGAUCGGCUAACUCCGUGCCAGCCGCCGC